GCCAGACUAGGUCAGUCGAUAGAGCAUGAGACUCUUAAUCUCAGGGUCUUGGGUUCGAGCCUCAUGUUUGGUG
Molecule: transfer RNA, 73 nt
Filed under: Erinaceus europaeus (western European hedgehog)
Lineage: Eukaryota; Metazoa; Chordata; Mammalia; Eulipotyphla; Erinaceidae
Rfam family: tRNA
About the family: Transfer RNA (tRNA) molecules are approximately 80 nucleotides in length. Their secondary structure includes four short double-helical elements and three loops (D, anti-codon, and T loops). Further hydrogen bonds mediate the characteristic L-shaped molecular structure. tRNAs have two regions of fundamental functional importance: the anti-codon, which is responsible for specific mRNA codon recognition, and the 3' end, to which the tRNAs corresponding amino acid is attached (by aminoacyl-tRNA synthetases). tRNAs cope with the degeneracy of the genetic code in two manners: having more than one tRNA (with a specific anti-codon) for a particular amino acid; and 'wobble' base-pairing, i.e. permitting non-standard base-pairing at the 3rd anti-codon position.
Source: Rfam by way of RNAcentral